Molecule: long non-coding RNA, 219 nt
Filed under: Elaeis guineensis (African oil palm)
Lineage: Eukaryota; Viridiplantae; Streptophyta; Magnoliopsida; Arecales; Arecaceae
Description: long non-coding RNA (EGUI_LNC029000)
Source: RNAcentral
CAGACAGACAGAAUCUAUAUUGAAAGUGAUUUUGCUACCAUCUUCAUUUGGAUCUAAAGAUGGAUGAAGCAUGUGAAGGCUCACCCAUUUAUCCAGGAUGUCAGGAUUUCUCUCCAUCAUAUUAUUGUGAUCUAGAUGCGGUAUAUCUACUGGAAGGUAAAUACUAUUGCAGACUGAGUUAUGGCUUUCGUGAUAGAACAUUAUGACAAUUAGAUCUGG